RNAcentral lists this long non-coding RNA (1584 nucleotides) under Coturnix japonica (Japanese quail). RNAcentral describes it as "lncRNA (ENSCJPG00005021139.1)". Lineage: Eukaryota; Metazoa; Chordata; Aves; Galliformes; Phasianidae. The record is from RNAcentral.
AUGUACCGGCGGUGCCGGUUUCACAUCACAAUGCGGAAACCGGAGCGCGAACGGGCCGCGUGUGCGAACAAAGCGCCGCGUUCCAGACACCCCCGAGCGGCGGCGUCAGCCCGGCCCCGCGCUGCCGUGGCGAUGAGCUCGGUCCGGUACCCCCGCACCCAUCGCACCCCGAUCCUCACCCCCCCCGCCCUCCUCCCCACUCCGCCCGGCGCCCCCGACGGCGCCCCCCCGGCACGGGCACCGCUCUGCGGAGUCCAGGGAGGGGGGAAGUUCCGCCCGGCCGGGCUCGUUCCGUGCGGAGCAGCCGCUCCCCUCGCGCUGCCCGUGGCUCCGCUCGGCGGGGCCGUGGCUCCGGGUGGGGCCGGCAGCAGCCCCGCGCCGCGCCCCCUCGUGCCGCCGCCCCCGGAGCGACCCGCGCGUCCCCGCCGGGCGGGCGGCCUCGGGGCCGGGGCUGCGGGCGGGGGCCGCUCCCGACCCGCGGCUACGGGUGGUGGCGGCGGCCCGGGCCCGGCGGGGCGGGGAGGGUCUCGAUGGCCGCCCCCGCUCCGGGCAGCGCCGCGCCCCGCAGCUUUGUUCCGCGGUGCCGGGAGCGGGGCCGGGCUCCGGGCAACUGCCGGCGGCCGGAGCGGGCCGGGGGGGCGGGCGCGGGGCCGCUCCGAGCCCGGAAAACUUGUCCGGGCGCGGCGGGGGGGACGCGGGGGCCACGGCGGCGAGAUAAAGGGCCCCGGCGCCGCCGCGCUCGUCGCUCCCGGCCGAGUUAGGAGGAGCUGUUUUGCAUCCCUUCACGUCAGCCUGCCUCAUUCCCUCCUUCCUUCCUUCCUGCGCGCCCAGCGCCGGGCCCACGGCCCGCAGCCGCCGUCACCCCGCGCCCUGCGGAGCCGCCGCGGGACGCACGGUGAGUCCCCGCCGCUCCCCGGGGCCGCAGCCCCCGCCCGGGGCCCCGCGCGUCGCCGCCCGCCCGGCCGCCUCCCCGCGCCGGGCCGGGAGAGAUGGCGGCGGGAGACACGGUGCGGGGCGGAGGCGGCGGCGGCGGCGCCCGGGUCCGCACGUGGGUCCGCCCGCCCCGCUCCGCAGCCCCAAGUUUCCCCACCGCAGCCUCGCAAAGUUUCUCCGCGGCCGCGGGGUCGAAGUUGCGGGUCGGGCCGGGCCGGGCUGCGGGGCGUGGGGUCGGGACCUGUUGCGGGGCAGCAGCCGGGUACGGGAACGCUCCCACGGCGGCACCGGGCCCCGAGCGCGGCGUUGGGGCGGGGGCUGCGGGGACGGUGCGGGGUACGGCGGGCGGAGCGAGGGGCGGGGGGGUCGCCGGGGUCGCGCUUUAAAUGGGGACGCGCUGCAGGGCGGGGAGCGACGCCAGAGGGGUCGGGGUCGUCCGCGCCGUCCGUGUGUCCCCGUCAUCCGGCCGGUACCCGCUGCUCACGCGGAGCUUCUCGUGCGAGGCGUGGGACGGCAGCGGGGCCACCCAGGUGCGAGGGAGCGCGGGGCGGCGGGGCCGGGCCGGGCGUAGGACGGAGCCGAACGGCCGCACCGGGCUCGGGGGUCGGGGAGCGUCCAGAGAGACGGGAAAGGCCCCGGGGCGGGGGGUGA